UAUCACUGCAUUCUGGGUUCUCAUUACUCAUAUUCCCAUCUUCCAAAAUAUCAUUCGCAUUAUUGAGACUCUUCUUUUCAGCCAAGUGCCACCAUGUCAAUCUCUAUCCGUUAUUUUGUACACAGACCAAAUCCAAUCCAAACAAUGAAAAUAUUAACCCCAACUCAAAUCCAUGCCGCCCGCAUCGGCAUCUCCAACUUGUUCAGACCAUUGUAUUCGUUUUUCAAUCACUCCACAAAUCUGUUGUUAAAUUGUCCACCUCAUUCAAAUAUUCCAUCGGGAUGGGAACACAAUCAAAAUUACAUGGCAUCCUAUUCCUCCAAGCACUGCACCAUCACAUAGACACAGACCUAAAGCCUUUGUAUUGCAUUCGGCAGGGGAGGGCAGUGGGUAUUAAUGGGAGACCCUGCCCAUAACUAACUUUUCUGUUACUUCACCGUUUUAGGCCGCCCAGUUGCUCGCAUUGUUCUGUUAUAAACUCUUAGGUAAGCAGGGCUUAAGGGCGGGCACUCUGAUAGGUAUUUUAAUCCGGAGAAAAGUGCCCAGUUCUCAUUUGGGCAUUGCCCAAGCUGAUUUCUUGUCAUAUAUGUUAUCAUGUCUAACAAUAAGUCUGCAAAUAGCCCCAACAUUACAGAAAAUGAAGCCAGGAAAAUGGAUAAUAAAUAUGCUAGUCUGAAAGAAGAUUAUCUGGAGCUUCAACAGGUUUGGAUGCAAACCCUUGUGUUGAUGAUUUAGCAUUAUCUUCCUCUCCUUCCAGGUUUGGUAUGCAAUUCCUCGGUUGGAUUCUUAGCAUCCUUCUCUCCUUCCAUGUUUGGUAUACAAAUGCUCGGUUGGAUUCUAAGCAUCCUUCUCUCCUUCCAUAUUUGGGUUGCAAAUUUGUGGGUAAAUGACUUAAGUAUUUUUCUCUCCUUACAAAUCCUUGGGUGAAGUCACAUGUUUAUGUGCAAAUCCUUAGACCUUAGCAUCCUCCUCCCCUUGUAAAUUUGCAAUGCAAAUCCUUGGGUUGAUGUCUAGAAUUCUCCUUUCCAUGCAGGUUAGAUGAUGGAAAUUCGCAUAACAGCCUCAUGGGUUCACUGUGGGGGUUGUGGGUUCCCUUGCUUGGCAUUUAUUUCCAGUCUGGAAAUUAUUCUCAAUCAGAAGGAAGUCAUGGGGCUAAGAAAAAAGCUAGAAAAUUGCAAAGAUAGCAGGAAGCAGCUUGAGGCCGAAAUUCUUGAGAUCUAGAAAAAGAAUGUUGACAUCUAAGAAAUUAUUGGACUUGAUAGAUCCAGAAGCAUCUCCAAAUGAUCACUUAAAAAUAAUGUGCAAAAACAGAAGCAACGGUGCUUCAAUUGAAGGCCUGCCUAUUGAACAUGAGCCCAUUACACAUGGAUCACAUCCUUGGCUGCAACUAUACAAAUCACAACAUAUCUCUUCUGUGCCUGAAACGACUGCUGGAGUACAAUCUUCAAAUCUUGCACGGCAACAAACACCAUCAGUCACAGCAAUUAGAGAACCUGUUUUAAAGAAGAGACGACUUCAGAGCAAUGAUACCCUUAAUUCAUCUGAACCCAAAGGUAGCAAAAAGAAAAAACUUCAAGAAAAAGGUAAACAAAAGCCUAAUCCACGUACUGAUGAAGGAAGUGAUAACAGGUUUUGGGACAAAAAAUAAUGUAGUCUAUGUAUUCAGAUUUGAAUGAUUCGCUGCACUCCUACCAAGAUCUGUAAGACAUGAAAAUUAUAUAAAUUUAAAAUCUUACUCCCUUUGACA
Molecule: RNA transcript, 1747 nt
Organism: Cryptomeria japonica (Japanese cedar)
Lineage: Eukaryota; Viridiplantae; Streptophyta; Pinopsida; Cupressales; Cupressaceae
Exons: 5
Source: RefSeq, a predicted model, not a curated record